Molecule: long non-coding RNA, 2370 nt
Organism: Monomorium pharaonis (pharaoh ant)
Lineage: Eukaryota; Metazoa; Arthropoda; Insecta; Hymenoptera; Formicidae
Exons: 2
Source: RefSeq, a predicted model, not a curated record
AAAAUUUUUUUUGUUUAUUGUUUCUGUGUAACAAUUGACCCUGUUAUAAAUUUUAAAACUUCUUUUGUUUAUUGUUUCUCUGUAACAAUUGACCCUGUCAUAAAUUUCAAAAUUCCUUUGUUCAUUGUUUCUUAUUAACAAUUGACCCUGUCAUAGAUUUCAAAAUUGUUUUGUUUAUUUGUUCUAUAACAAUUGACCAUGUCAUAAAUUUCAAAUUUUCUUUUGUUUAUUGUUUCUCCGUAACAAAUGAUCCUGUCAUAAAUUUCAAAAUUCUUUUGUUUAUUAUUUUUUUUAACAAUUGAAAAAUUUCUCUCAACAUAUUUUCGAAAGUCGUUUGUGCUCAGGGGGGAUCGCCGCUCAGGUACAUUGAUAAAGAAAUUUUAUUAUUAUUUUAUACAUAUAUUGUAAUUUUUACUUGAUUAUUUAUAAUUAAAGUUAGAUUAUAUAUUUAUACAUAUUCUAAGUUAAAUUAUAAAUAAUUAAAUAAUAAAAAUUAUAUUAUGUACAUUUCACUCCAGUUACAGUUUGUUCUCUCUCUUUCUCUCUCUCUCUCUCUCUCUCUCUCUCUCUCUCUCUCUCUCUCUCUCUCUCUCUGCUGCAAGAUGGACGUGUCAAAGAUCGCUCCGCGAAUGCAGUACAUUUAAAGUGAUAAAAAAGUGAAAGAAAAUUAUAAAAGGAUGUCGUAGCUGUGAGAAUACACUUACGUGCAUGAGUGGGCGCUCGUAUCAAUAGGAUCGGCGUCAGCCGAUGCCUACUAAUAUGGACGAUGAAUAUGCAGAAUAUAGAUGUGCCGCAUGUAAGAAGGCAAUAAAAAGUCAGGUCGUGACAUGUAAGUCAUGUGUUAAACUUUUUUUCAUCCAGGAUGUGCAAUUAAACAUAAGGUGUACGAUAGAAAUCAAGAAUAUGUGUUAUGUCCUGGCCCAUAUGAGAAGUUUACAGUUGACAGUGAAAAAGAUAUGGAUGUAAAAAAAAACACCAAUAUAGACGGGAAGCGAAAGAGAAAGACUGAGUUUUACAGAAUCGACAGGAAGUAGAGCGAUAGGUGUCAACGUGGGCAUGAAUACGAAAAUUGAUUGGCUAGUAAAAACCAUGAGAAAGAUGAAAGAUGAAAUGGCAUGCAAACGAGAAAUAAAAGUGCUGAUUAAGGAGACAGUGCAGGAAAUAAAAGCUAUUAAACAAGAAAUGGAAGACUUACGAAAAGUAAUACGAGGAGGAAUGCAGGCGUCAGCGGAAAAUGUGCGCGGCAGUUACAGUGAGGCUACGAAGAAAAAGAAGGAAAACAUCAUAAUCAUUAAACCGAAGAUUCAGCAAAAAAGUGAGUCCACUAAAAAAAUAAUUUAAAAAAAAGGUUGAUAAUAAGAAUAUGUCAAUGGAGAUAACAAAGGUACGAAAAGGAAAAAAGGAACAGUAAUUUUAGGCUGUGAGACCGGAGAAGAAAUAGAUAAAUUAAAAGAGGUAAUACAGUCUAAGCUAAGUGACAAUUAUAAUGUUACAGAAUUACUACAAAAAAAGCCGAAAAUAAAAAUUGUUAAUAUUAGCGAGGAAGAAAUAGAGUUGGAUGAUGUUGAACUAAUAGAUACAAUCAAGAAACAGAAUAGUAUUGUUGCGCUUCCCGAAGCACUCAUACUUCCACUAACACACUCUCUUCCGCUCGCGAGCGCAGCGGAAUAAAAACACGCUUUUGGCGAACAAGAACCUUUAUUAACAGCUGCGAACAACUCCGAGCACGUCCGCACGAGUUAUCUCAGGAAGUUCUAAACAAAACCAUUUGUUUAUACAUAAGCAACGCCGGGGCCGUUAGAUUCAGCUGACUGAGGCAAUCGAUAUAUUGAUUUUUCGCGUUAAGCUUGCGCUCACAACGCGCGCAAAGCUCACGCUCGCGAAGCUCGCGUUCGCAACAGUAUUGAAGAAUUUCGUAUAAGCAUAGUUAAGAAAAUCCCGAAAAGAAAAAAUAUGAAUAAUAGUCAGCCUAGAAGAAAAGAGAAAGAAGGUAGAUCUAUAAUAAUCGAAGUAGAUGAAAUAACACAUGAAUUGAUGUUUAAAAAAAAAGUUGAAUAUAGGCUGGAGAAAAUGUCCUGUGUUCAAUCAGCAUAACGAGAUGUUUCAAGUGCUGGGGAUUCUACCACAUUGCAAAAAAUUGUACAAGAGAUGAAACGUGUCAUAAUUGUGCAAGAAAGCAUAAAGCAAGUAAAUGUAGAGAGAAGCAUGACAAAUGUGUAAAUUGUAUGUUUAAAAUAAAAACAUAUAAUUUAAAAAUAAAAGACGAUCAUGAUGCUCUAGAUCCGGAAUGUCCUUCUUACAUGUCCGACAUAUAAGAGGGCUAUCGAAGAGGAGAAGAGGAGAGGUGGAUGGGAAGCCAAAAAAUAGCAA